AUGGUAUGAGAAUAAAAUUUAAUACUCUAUUGUGCUACCUGUCAUUUCUAUAACCUGUUUUUGCCUCUCUGUCUGUCAUUACUGUGUCCAUCUUCUCCACAGCACAACACAAGCCAUAGAAGACCACUCACAAUUCCAACAUUCUUAUUAUUUUCUUUUUAAUCUAAAGAACUCAAAUCUACUUGGAAUUGUAUACGGAAAAUGGAGAUCUGAAAAAUUGAAAUCAGAUUUGAGGCCGAGGUUUGAGCUUCACUCAACGAUUUUGGUCAUAGUGGAGAAAAGCAAAUAUCCAAGUUAGAAGAAUGCUUUACUUGUAUGAAAUUGGCUAUUCAAAGUUCUUGCAUGCGAGUAUUUUGCCAUUUUUUGCUUUAAUUUUUUUUUGUUGUUGAAAGUUAUACAUUGCAGAUUGUUUUUUUCAAAAUAAUUUAUUAGAUCUUCCAGUUUACAUACCAACUGAUGAUUAAUAUGAGUCUCCACUUUAUUCUUGCUUUCAUUUCUAUUCAUAAUUUUGCUUCAAUAAAAAAUUGAUUGGACUCUCCUUUAGCAGAAAUAAACCGAAUUCUGAUUUAUUUUCAUUUCUUCCAAUUGCUUUAUUUAUGCCUCUAACCAAGGCAGGCCUAUCAUUCAAUUUUCUCUUUGUUCUUACAGAGUUUUAUGCUAAUUCAUUUCAUUUGAGAUUCGUUGGAAUUUUGGGAUUAUGAACAUUUAUUUUACUUGGACCAUUUGAACAUUUAUUUAAUUUGUUGGAAUUUUGGGAUUGAUAGGCAAUGUUCAUGUCAGUUAUAACUGAAAAGAUUUUUGUCCUUCUGUUUUAUGAUUGUGAUUUUCAUGGCUAUUCUUUUUUUUUAUGAGACAAUGUAAUAACUGAAUAAUUUGAUUCCAAUUAAGAGAAAGUGAUUAAUUUGAUGAACUUUAAUGACCACUUAGGAAAUUAAUUCUGCAAUCAUAGUUUGAAUCUAUUCAUCGUUGGUACAAAUAUACUUGCAUCAAAUAUGUAGUUGUGCUGGAAAUUUGGGAAAAUAUACUUGCAAUUAUAUUUGAAUUUGUUGGUUUCAUUUAAAGUUUGUUCAAAGAUAUUUGUCAGCCAUUUACACAACUAUAUGCACUCAAGGCUUUUAUAAUAUUUUGUUGCAAAUAGGUAAAUACCAAAUGAUGAAGAGACGUAUGGAUGGAGGAAAUUGUGUACUGGAAGUAAGGUCAUGUUGGUCUACAAGAUUUUGACUUCAUCUAAUGAAGUUUGUACAACUUAGGAAGUAUAGAUGUUUAAUGAGAAUCUUUGUUUAAUUAGGUUCCUUUUCAAUGUUCCUUUAAGAAAUUUGAUUGCAGCAGUAAAUUUAUAAUUUUGAUGUCAAAAGUACUCCAAAUCACGUGUUUGGCCCGUGCUGCAGCAUUAAACAUCUAGUGAUUAUUCAGAAAUAAUACUAAAAUUUGAAGAAUAAAUAAUGUAAUAACAUUCACUUUCUCAUCUGAAUAUAGAAAUUUGUUUUUAU
Molecule: long non-coding RNA, 1490 nt
Filed under: Solanum tuberosum (potato)
Lineage: Eukaryota; Viridiplantae; Streptophyta; Magnoliopsida; Solanales; Solanaceae
Description: long non-coding RNA (STUB_LNC002183)
Source: RNAcentral